UACGUAGGUGGCAAGCGUUGUCCGGAUUUAUUGGGUUUAAAGGGUGCGUAGGCGGUCUUAUAAGUCAGUGCUGAAAUAUCCCGGCUUAACCGGGAGGGUGGCAUUGAUACUGUAGGACUUGAGUAAAGUUGAGGUUGGCGGAAUUGACGGUGUAGCGGUGAAAUGCUUAGGUAUCGUCAAGAACACCUAUAGCGAAGGCAGCUAACUAAACUUUAACUGACGCUGAGGCACGAAAGUGUGGGGAUCAAACAGG
Molecule: ribosomal RNA, 253 nt
Filed under: uncultured bacterium
Lineage: Bacteria
Description: partial 16S ribosomal RNA
Rfam family: Bacterial small subunit ribosomal RNA
Source: RNAcentral